RNAcentral lists this ribosomal RNA (389 nucleotides) under uncultured bacterium. RNAcentral describes it as "bacterial SSU rRNA". It matches the Rfam family "Bacterial small subunit ribosomal RNA", at positions 335 to 714 of the family's 1533-position model. The record is from RNAcentral.
ACUCCUACGGGAGGCAGCAGUGGGGAAUAUUGCACAAUGGGGGAAACCCUGAUGCAGCCAUGCCGCGUGUGUGAAGAAGGCCUUGGGUUGUAAAGCACUUUCAGUAGGGAGGAAGGUAGUGUAGUUAACACCUGCAUUAUUUGUACGUUACCUACAGAAGAAGCACCGGCUAACUCCGUGCCAGCAGCCGCGGUAAGUACGGAGGGUGCGAGCGUUAAUCGGAAUUACGUGGGCGUAAAGCGCAUGCAGGCGGCCUGUUAAGUCAGAUGUGAAAGCCCGGGGUCUUAACCUCGGAAUUGCAUUUGAAACUGGCAGGCUAGAGUCUUGUAGAGGGGUUAGAAUUUCAGGUGUAGCGGUGAAAUGCGUAGAGAUCUGAAGGAAUACCGAGU